RNAcentral lists this unclassified non-coding RNA (202 nucleotides) under Hevea brasiliensis (rubber tree). The record is from RNAcentral. Lineage: Eukaryota; Viridiplantae; Streptophyta; Magnoliopsida; Malpighiales; Euphorbiaceae.
AUUCUUUUGAGGUUCCGAAUUGAUGCUUUGAUGAUUGUGUAAACUAAAACUUAUAUAACCAGCUCGAACCCUAGCGCCUUAUGCGCUUAAGUGUGUGCCUUUGUUCCACACACAAGGUUCUAGGAAGGAUGUCUUUCUUUAUUUCCAUUUUUAGCGAGCUCUUUCAUUGGCAAAUUGGAUUACUACUUAAACUCAAAAGAAU